This 73-nucleotide transfer RNA is filed under the name Camelus dromedarius (Arabian camel). It matches the Rfam family "tRNA". From Rfam's summary of the family: Transfer RNA (tRNA) molecules are approximately 80 nucleotides in length. RNAcentral also lists the same sequence under 2 other names. The record is from Rfam by way of RNAcentral. Lineage: Eukaryota; Metazoa; Chordata; Mammalia; Artiodactyla; Camelidae.
GAGGGUAUAGCUCAAAUGGGAGAGUGCGUGCUUGGCACGCACGAGGUCCUGGGUUCAAUCCCUGGGACCACCA